Molecule: ribosomal RNA, 486 nt
Filed under: uncultured bacterium
Lineage: Bacteria
Description: partial 16S ribosomal RNA
Rfam family: Bacterial small subunit ribosomal RNA
Source: RNAcentral
AUUGAACGCUGGCGGCAUGCCUUACACAUGCAAGUCGAACGGCAGCACGGGUGCUUGCACCUGGUGGCGAGCGGCGAACGGGUGAGUAAUACAUCGGAACAUGUCCUGUAGUGGGGGAUAGCCCGGCGAAAGCCGGAUUAAUACCGCAUACGAUCCACGGAUGAAAGCGGGGGACCUUCGGGCCUCGCGCUAUAGGGUUGGCCGAUGGCUGAUUAGCUAGUUGGUGGGGUAAAGGCCUACCAAGGCGACGAUCAGUAGCUGGUCUGAGAGGACGACCAGCCACACUGGGACUGAGACACGGCCCAGACUCCUACGGGAGGCAGCAGUGGGGAAUUUUGGACAAUGGGCGAAAGCCUGAUCCAGUAAUGCCGCGUGUGUGAAGAAGGCCUUCGGGUUGUAAAGCACUUUUGUCCGGAAAGAAAUCCUUGACUCUAAUACAGUCGGGGGAUGACGGUACCGGAAGAAUAAGCACCGGCUAACUACGUG